RNAcentral lists this ribosomal RNA (482 nucleotides) under uncultured bacterium. RNAcentral describes it as "partial 16S ribosomal RNA". It matches the Rfam family "Bacterial small subunit ribosomal RNA", at positions 30 to 507 of the family's 1533-position model. The record is from RNAcentral.
AUUGAACGCUGGCGGCAUGCUUUACACAUGCAAGUCGAACGGUAACAGGCCGCAAGGUGCUGACGAGUGGCGUACGGGUGAGUAAUGCAUCGGAACGUGCCCAGUCGUGGGGGAUAACUACUCGAAAGAGUAGCUAAUACCGCAUACGAUCUAUGGAUGAAAGCGGGGGACCGUAAGGCCUCGCGCGAUUGGAGCGGCCGAUGUCAGAUUAGGUAGUUGGUGGGGUAAAGGCUCACCAAGCCAACGAUCUGUAGCUGGUCUGAGAGGACGACCAGCCACACUGGGAGUGAGACACGGCCCAGACUCCUACGGGAGGCAGCAGUGGGGAAUUUUGGACAAUGGGCGCAAGCCUGAUCCAGCAAUGCCGCGUGCAGGAAGAAGGCCUUCGGGUUGUAAAAUGCUGUUGUACGGAAGGAAACGGAUCUGGUUAAUACCCGGGGCUAAUGACGGUACCGUAAGAAUAAGCACCGGCUAACUACGUG